RNAcentral lists this long non-coding RNA (750 nucleotides) under Homo sapiens (human). RNAcentral's name for it is "long intergenic non-protein coding RNA 472". The record is from RNAcentral. Lineage: Eukaryota; Metazoa; Chordata; Mammalia; Primates; Hominidae.
GAGGUGGGCAAGUUAGUUGCUCCAAAAACAAGAUAAAAUGAUUGAGUUCUUUUCUCAAGCGGGAGUCGGAGUUUAUCUGCUCUGAGAGCCCCAGCAGCUACUAUUAAUGAGUGUCUGGAAUAUGUUCCUGGCAUUUCACCUACCCUCUCUCCAAUCCUUCCAAGAAACUCACAAAGCAGGGCUUUUUCUUGAACUUCUCUUCCUCACAACAGUUAAAUCAUCCAUUUAAAGAUGUCAAACAACCUCCGUGUUCUAAGAUGCUGGACCCCUGAAUAUGGAGGGCCAACUACACUAGAAACACACACGCUAGCUGAGAAAGAUGGUGGCUUAAGGCCAAGGGCCUCUGCUAGCACCCAUGAGAACUUUGUGUUCUUGAGAAUAAGACACCUUUGCUCCAGGGCUUAGUGAGCAGGGCCUGAACUGGAGUUCCCUCCCACCACCUUAACUGAACUCUUCAUGCAGGACACAGCAUGUACAACCUCACAUAGAGUUCCUGACCAGACAAGACUUGCUGGAAAUUUCCCAGGAUCUUCCUUCCUUAAGCAUCCAUCAUGGGAAGCCACCUUGCCCUAGGGAGAGCUCCUGACCUAGGGUCAGGAAUAUAUUAAGGAAGACAGCAAUUAAUACAUUCAAAAAUAAUAAUAAUUACAAAUUAUGUCUCUGUGUUAGGAAAACUUGGAUAAGCAGGUCCAUAGAAAUUCCUCUGCUAGCCCUGUCUCCUGGAAUUUCUACAUAAUGGCAUAUCCUCAG